UACGAACUGUGCAACCGUUAUUCGGAAUCACUGGGCUUACAGGGUGCGUAGGCGGUUUGUCAAGUAGGGUGUGAAAUCCCCCGGCUCAACCGGGGAAUUGCGCCCUAAACUGGCGAGCUGGAGUGAGAUAGGGGUGUGUGGAACUUCCAGUGGAGCGGUGAAAUGUGUUGAUAUUGGAAGGAACGCCAGUGGCGAAAGCGACACACUGGGUCUCAACUGACGCUGAGGCACGAAAGCCAGGGGAGCAAACGGG
This 253-nucleotide ribosomal RNA is filed under the name uncultured bacterium. Its description in RNAcentral is "partial 16S ribosomal RNA". It matches the Rfam family "Bacterial small subunit ribosomal RNA", at positions 524 to 776 of the family's 1533-position model. The record is from RNAcentral.